RNAcentral lists this transfer RNA (57 nucleotides) under Dipodomys ordii (Ord's kangaroo rat). It matches the Rfam family "tRNA", at positions 8 to 63 of the family's 71-position model. Rfam says of the family: Transfer RNA (tRNA) molecules are approximately 80 nucleotides in length. Their secondary structure includes four short double-helical elements and three loops (D, anti-codon, and T loops). The record is from Rfam by way of RNAcentral. Lineage: Eukaryota; Metazoa; Chordata; Mammalia; Rodentia; Heteromyidae.
UAGCUCAGUGGUAGAGCGCUUGCCUUGCAUGCAUGAGGACUUGGGUUCGAUUCCUCA